UCGGGAAUUUUGGGCAAUGGGCGAAAGCCUGACCCAGCAACGCCGCGUGAGGGAUGAAGUAUUUCGGUAUGUAAACCUCGAAAGAAUGGGAAGAAUAAAUGACGGUACCAUUUAUAAGGUCCGGCUAACUACGUGCCAGCAGCCGCGGUAAUACGUAGGGACCAAGCGUUGUUCGGAUUUACUGGGCGUAAAGGGCGCGUAGGCGGCAAUUCAAGUCAGCUGUGAAAUCUCUGGGCUUAACCCGGAACGGCCAGCUGAUACUGCUUUGCUAGAGUGCGGAAGGUGCAAUCGGAAUUCUUGGUGUAGCGGUAAAAUGCGUAGAUAUCAAGAGGAACACCUGAGGUGAAGACGGGUUGCUGGGCCGACACUGACGCUGAGGCGCGAAAGCCAGGGGAGCAAACG
Molecule: ribosomal RNA, 402 nt
Filed under: uncultured bacterium
Lineage: Bacteria
Description: bacterial SSU rRNA
Rfam family: Bacterial small subunit ribosomal RNA
Source: RNAcentral